Non-coding RNA from Lolium perenne, 4619 nucleotides. The record is from RefSeq and is a predicted model, not a curated record. NCBI's taxonomy places the organism in Eukaryota, Viridiplantae, Streptophyta, Magnoliopsida, Poales, Poaceae.
CAAUCUUGUCCAUCGGUUUCACCAGCUACAGUAAAUUCCAAUCCCGCUUUUCACCACAGCCGUCGGAUGUAGUAAUUUUUUAAUCACCUUUUGCUUGUCCCGUCGAGUCCAUGACAAACGGGACCUUAUAUGUGCGGGGCCUGCCGGUCAUAGGCAGCCACACAGGCUCGUUCAUGUCACCCUUCUCGUUUGGGGCAGUGAAAACCUAGACGGGCCAGUCUCUCCUCCCCCAAUCCCCACCUCCUCUCCCGUCCCCCAAUCCCCACCUCCUCUCCCAACCCGUGCCGCCGCCUCUCCUCCUCGGAAGAAGCGCCGUCCGUCACCCCGCUGCACCGGCGUGCGGCGAGAUCAAGAAGGAUGGCCGCAGCGACCGGAGGCACCGAGCGCGGCCAGAGACGGGCCGACGCAGGGCGGAUCCGCGACGACCGGAGGCGGCGGUGGCGGCGGCGACCGGUGGCGCCGGGCGCGGCCAGAGACGGGCCGGCGCUGGGCGGAUCUCCUCUUCCCCAAUGGAGCUCAAGGGGCGGCGGGCGCCUCCUCCUAUUCUCUCUCGUCCAUCUGCCUCUUCCUCUCCCAUCCCUGCCAUCUCUCUUCCUCCAUGGCGCUCCAGGCUCUCCAAAUCAAAGCAGCAGCGGGAGGAGCUCGCACACGACAGGAGGGGGGCCCACGGGUUGGUGCAGCGGAUGGUGGCCGCAGAGGACGAUGGUGCGGCCUCAGGUGGUGGACGGUGGUGCCUGCCGAGGCAUCGACGCGGCGGCUUGGCGGUCAGAGCCGCGUCGGUCGUUUCCUCUCGGGGCUCGGAGGGGAGGCUGCUGUUUGGGAGAUGCCAUUCAUGGUACCAAUUCUACUGGCUCGAUAAAUCUUCUCAAAUCCCGAUCCCAAUACAGUACCAUUAUUUAGUGCACACAUUCAUGAAUAAAUUUGGAUUCUCAACUUCUCAACUUCUCGAUGGACGGCGAGAGGAGGCGUUGCAGGAGGAAGUUGGCGGCGCGCCGGUGGAGUCGGCAAGGCGGAGGGCGGCGGCGCGUCGCCACAGCCGGCUGCUGCGUUUCGGAGGAGGCGCAGCAGGAGCUGGCUGCUCACCUGGCAGCGCCUCUCCCAUCACCCGCAGGCCGCAGCGGACGAGAGGCCAAGCAGGGGAAGAUGGGGGUGGAGACUGAAGGCCACGACCACCACGCGGGCGCAGCAGAUGGCGAGGACAAGGGAGGCGGCGACCCCCACGCCCUCUCAUCCCUUACCCAUGUUGGGUGCCCAGGAGACAGAAACAUUGCUAUCCAUGUGUCCUGCUGCACGUGUUGCCGCUUCUGAAGCGAUGGAGAGGAGCAACGGAUGGGAACAUGGGGUGCUUGAUAGCUAAGAUCACGUGUGCACUGUAAAUGGCAAUUAAUCAGGAAGUUUGGAUUAGUUAAAGCACUGACUUAGUUAAAUCUGCAGGCAGAUGGAGUGGAUUAAUUAGGUACGAGCCCAAGCGGAAGGCUUCAGGCACGCCUCACUUAGGUGGAAAGAGAUGGAAUAAAUAAAUAAAAGAACGGAAUUCACAACAGGAUCUGUCUUGGUCUAGGUAGAAGAAUUUGCUGCAAGCUGUUGGCCAUCGUGGCCCAAAGCACCAGGUGUGAGCUAUUUGCUUCUAAAUGGCCAGUGGCAACAGCACUUGUAUAUGGGCCAGUAACAAUGAUAUAAAUUUUUUGUGAUAUAUGGUGGGUUAUCUCACACCUUUUUUGGCCCUUCACCCGCUUGAUUUGAGUUUUUUAAUGGAAUCAAAUAGUGUCUCUGCAUCUUAACAAGCCAUCCAUUGAAUGAUUCCCACAUCCAUUGAACAUAUUCGUUAAUGAUUCACAUGCCUUCAGUCAGCUUUGCACUAUGGAGAUCACUGUUUCCUAUUUAUGCUUAUUGUUUUAUUGAGUUUAUAAAGCACUGUAGAUUUUGAAUAUGCUCUGAGUUUAACAUUCUUUUGGUAUGUGCCUGACAGGGGUAGGUAAGAAACAACCCCAUUUUUUGCUCAGGCCUAACUAAAGAUUAUGUCAUCCAGCUUUUGUGGGCAGUUAAAAGAGCAACCCUAUUCUCAGUAAAUUUUGCUUGCCUGUCAGUAUAUUUUUGGUUGCAUUGUGUGCUUCAGUCCCUCUGUUUUAUUCUGAUUUGAGGCCUUCAAUCCCCUUUUGGUUGGUUAAUAGUUGGCGCUACUCUUUUCCUUCAUUCAGCUUGUUGUUCUGAUUGAAAUUAGGAAAAAUAUAUACUACCUCGGGACGUAAAUAAUAAACGCGCCGGCAAGCGAAUGAUAUGCGUGCAUAGCAGGAUGUAUUGCGUUCAGUAGAACAAAUUAACAAAAACAUUAUCCAUUAUAUCGAUUGUGCCAAAUUGAACAUAAUGGCCUCUGUGGUGAGUUGCCGGUACCAUCAUGUUCGUUUCCUUCUUAGCUUGGCCGCGUUGCAUUUCUCUUUCUUUUCUUCGUGUUUUCCUCCUUUCCUCCUCUGAAUUUCUCCUCUGCACCUCAUUCCUUUAUUUCUCGUGCCAUGGUCUGCCAUGGUCGAAUUAUGUAGGUAAAAAACCGAGUCUCCUGUCAUGUGAUUAACUUUUUAGAUACCUCCUAAUUUUUGUGAUGAAUUUAUGUGGUAGAUUUCUUUUGGUAAAUCUGGGACGCCUACAACUGAUGGGAAAUGAACUUGUUAGCUCUGUUUAAUGUAAUGACAUAUUAACCUAUGCAGAUACUGGACAUAGAUGUUUUUGUUAGUAACCGCAAAUGUUUAGUUUGAUGCCAUGUCAUUUUUAUGAAUUAUGUGAGAGCUUCAAAUGAUGUUUGUACCAGACCGUGGGCGUGGGGGAUGGUCCUGAUGCAUGGCUAGCCAGUGUAGUUGUGGGGGUAGGAAUACAAAAAGGAAUAUACUUUGAUCGAAACCACGAAUUACUUUGAUAUGUCCUGUCAAGGCAUAAUAAUAGAGCAGGUGCUAAAAUCUCACCCAUUCCUCAAUUAAUUUGUUCAUGCAACUAAGGAAGAUGACCGUGUUUGCUAUAGGUACAUAGAGAUCUCUAGGCACCUCUUUGGUUUAAAACUUAAAUUUACCCAAAAAAAUCUUUGAAGAAUACAUGCUUCCCUUUUUUAGUCAUCCUAUGGGGUUGCCAACUAUUGGUGCAAUAAUUGAACAUGAUUCUUGCUGAUUAUUGUUACCAAGCAAGUGGGCAGACAUGUUUUAUGUGCAUUGAGUGAACUGAAUCUGCUGGUUAGUUAAUUUUGGGAGUUUCUCGCAAAAAAAGUUAAUUUUGGGAGAGUUGGGUUAGUGAAGGUACAUCAGCUUCUCCAAUAACAUUUUGAUCCGUGUUGGUUCAUCCUAAAGAUUAUUCAUGCUUGGCUCAUUUGUACAUAUGUGUGCUUGUCAAGACAAAGGCAACAAAAUUCUGAAGGUGGUAAUUUUUUGUUCCCAUAUGUGAAUGAAUGAAUACUACUUCCUGCAAAAUCUGUACUAGGCAUCAGAUACUUUGCAGAUUCGCUAUAUUAAAGCAUGGUUAAUGCGUAGUUCGGAGGUUCUGGUUCUCAUCUGCAUUCCAUUCUUGAGUGCUUUAGCCAUCAUUGUUUGAAACAUCUUAAAGCCUAAUGUUGCAAUGAUAUGACGGCCCAGAAGGAGUACCUAGCGGGAGCGAGCUAGGUGGAGGCGUGAAUUGAGCGCUGGUGCCGUGGAAGCGAGCGUGGGUCACGGGCGCAGCUGAGCGGUCACCAGCGUCUGAAUAAAUUCCACCUGCAACACUAAUAAAUGCACAAUCAGAGAGAAAUGUUGAGAAAAUAGAGGGCAACAAGUGCCUCGCAACUGGCUGAAAAAUCGCACCGAAUGGAGAGAGCGUUGCGUCGACCAGGGACCUGAUCGGGUGUAUGGCACCAUGUCAUGGAGGGGCACUGCGGCCUGUGGCCCAAGGCGCAACAAUUUUUCUCGAUGCCCACAUACCUCCCAGGUUGUGGUCGCAUAUUCAAAUUUGAUGUCGUUUUAGCGCUUUGCUUCUGAAUAUCAGCACAGGGACUGACAUUCAGGGUUUCAGGGAUUCAGAGAGCCGAUACUUUAGCCAGGACGGCAGUGAGUGCAUGCCGGUGGCCUCAGCUGAUGGACGACGGUGGCCGCCGAGCGAUCGGCAGCAGGUAACAAGAGCAAAGGCUGCUGCUGAUUGUUGGGUUCCAGGACUAGGAAGGAACACUGAAGCUUAUACGUUUUAAAGGAUCAGUUUUGGUGUUCCAUCUUCUCUAUCAAAGCCAUAGGGCUUGAACCCGCUGCUCCGCUCUAAUAUGGCAGCAGCUGGGAGUUGGUGACAGAGCAGGUUUGGACGGGGCUACCUUAUCGGAGACCUGGGUGGUUUGGAUUUCGAAUGCCAAAAUCCUGUUUUUUUGGUUUAAUCCAUUUGCCUUAUUUAUAUGUACUUUAGCUCCCCAGUUAUAUUAGCUAUUUAGCUUAGACACUAUCAGAGUAUUUGUUAAACAUGGUGCAAGUGUUAUUUGUUAAAUGCUUCUACUGUCGCCAGUUGUCUUCCUCAAACAAUGCAGCAUACAUGUAAUAUUCAGAAAAAGAGUAGAAUGAAACAUAUUAUUGUAAUAUGAGCUAUUUACUAUGGUGCUACCUUUUAAUUCUAUCCUUUGUGUUGUA